Molecule: long non-coding RNA, 1031 nt
Organism: Aedes aegypti (yellow fever mosquito)
Lineage: Eukaryota; Metazoa; Arthropoda; Insecta; Diptera; Culicidae
Exons: 2
Source: RefSeq, a predicted model, not a curated record
AUUAUUUUGUUUUCUACUAACCCGCAUAGAAAAAUACAUUUCGCAAUGUGGUUAUGACUGUAAUCAUAAUUUAAGCCAUACUGUAGCUAUUUGUGUUAUUGUUCACAAUCAGUACCACCAUUAGUUUUGCUAGAUGUUUUACUGUAUAAGACAUUGACAUAACAAUACCACGUACAGUGAGUGUAUGAUAAACAGGUGUUUAAUUGUUUGUAACUGUCCAUCUAUCUGAAGCUCAACUGUUAAUAACAUUAAAAAUUGUAUUAGAACAGUUUCACAAAAGGGUAACAGUUUGGUGAAUUGUCCAUAUUUUGUUCCAUACAGUGCACGGGCAAAGCUAAAAAAGCGCGGUGUCACAAAGACAAUAAAAAAAAUAUAUUGUUUCACUGUGAAUCAACCAUACCUGGUAAGUUGAAACUUCGAUAACGGAAAAGUGAUUACAUAGGUGUUGGUGAGAUCGUUAUUAUCGGUUUCAAGCUCGUGAGAAAAGAUUGUUUGUGUCAAGUUGCUGGUAAAAAUUCAACAGAGAAGGAGUUUUAGACGUAUUUUUCCGAAAAGUGUUUUUUUUUUCGGAGUUUUGGUCUGCUUUCAAUCAAGCCUGUGACCGUGUGUAACCGUGUGGGGUUUUAGGCUGCACCUAUCAUUGGCAUCAGCGUUUCGCAUCCGGAACAAGGACCAGUUUUGUCAAUUCCGCAUAUCCUCCAGAAUGGUAUUCGCUGUCUCCUGCUGCAAGUUGAGCAGCAAGCGGUCCGUAUAACACAAGGCGACGCAUAACAAAAAUUUCAACUGCACUAUCCUAACACUCAACUUGUUUCUCCAGCCACUGCGGACGAUGUGCUUUCGGAUGCUGUUCGUUAUUGAUUGCUUCUCCCAAAAAACGACCGGUAUGCCGGCUAGAAAAAAGGAAAACCCGGAAGAAAGCUGCAGGUAUCCCUAUAACGUGGUCACAGGAUGUCGGAAAUGAUCGCUCUCAUCGGGGAUCUUCCUGAAUUGAAUUGUUUAGUUGCGUUAUGAUUGUUCAGAGUGCUAUUUGA